Molecule: long non-coding RNA, 571 nt
Organism: Stomoxys calcitrans (stable fly)
Lineage: Eukaryota; Metazoa; Arthropoda; Insecta; Diptera; Muscidae
Exons: 3
Source: RefSeq, a predicted model, not a curated record
UUUAAAUUUUAUCAAAAAAAUAUAACUUUUUUUUGUUUGUUUCUCUUUCGAGACGAGCUCAAUGAUCGGACAUGCAAAUGGAAAAGGAAAGCCAAAGAUAGCAACACACACCAACCACUAUGGGACGCGUUUCAUCUUUGGUUAGAAGACUUUUCAACCAUAUUAGGUGUGAUGGCUUCAAGGGCCGUGCGUUGAAUUUGGAUGGAAUGGAGGAAUGGCUGUUCUCUACGAAAGUGGAAUGGAGAAGUGAGAUUAACUUGUUAGUAUUUUGCACUACAAUUACAAUUUGUGCGGAAAAUGGAAUGAUGGAGUGGAGGAAUGGCGGUCCUUAAGUGGAUGGAGGAAUGGUUGUUAUUUUUUUAUUUUGGGACACUACACCACACUACACGGUUGGACGACGAUUUAAAACAACAAAACAAAACAAAACCACAGAAAACAGAAGACAACAAAAGCCAAUUGAUGCGUUCGUAAGAAGUAAGAACAAGAGCAUUUCCAUUUCGUCUUCAUUUGCAUUUUACCAUUGCAAACGAAACAAAAGAAACGAAAAGCAAAGGAAGGAAAAUUUUAAUAU